Molecule: ribosomal RNA, 427 nt
Filed under: uncultured bacterium
Lineage: Bacteria
Description: bacterial SSU rRNA
Rfam family: Bacterial small subunit ribosomal RNA
Source: RNAcentral
UGGGGAAUAUUGGACAAUGGGCGAAAGCCUGAUCCAGCCAUGCCGCGUGUGUGAAGAAGGUCUUCGGAUUGUAAAGCACUUUAAGUUGGGAGGAAGGGCUGCAAGUUAAUACCUUGUAGUUUUGACGUUACCAACAGAAUAAGCACCGGCUAACUUCGUGCCAGCAGCCGCGGUAAUACGAAGGGUGCAAGCGUUAAUCGGAAUUACUGGGCGUAAAGCGCGCGUAGGUGGUUUGGUAAGAUGGAUGUGAAAUCCCCGGGCUCAACCUGGGAACUGCAUCCAUAACUGCCUGACUAGAGUACGGUAGAGGGUGGUGGAAUUUCCUGUGUAGCGGUGAAAUGCGUAGAUAUAGGAAGGAACACCUGUGGCGAAGGCGACCACCUGGACUGAUACUGACACUGAGGUGCGAAAGCGUGGGGAGCAAACA